This 464-nucleotide ribosomal RNA is filed under the name uncultured bacterium. Its description in RNAcentral is "partial 16S ribosomal RNA". It matches the Rfam family "Bacterial small subunit ribosomal RNA", at positions 28 to 507 of the family's 1533-position model. The record is from RNAcentral.
GACGAACGCUGGCGGCGUGCUUAACACAUGCAAGUCGAACGGUAAGGCCCCUUCGGGGGUACACGAGUGGCGAACGGGUGAGUAACACGUGGGUGAUCUGCCCUGCACUUCGGGAUAAGCCUGGGAAACUGGGUCUAAUACCGGAUAGGACCACGCUCUGCAUGGAGUGUGGUGGAAGGCUUUUGCGGUGUGGGAUGGGCCCGCGGCCUAUCAGCUUGUUGGUGGGGUGAUGGCCUACCAAGGCGACGACGGGUAGCCGGCCUGAGAGGGUGUCCGGCCACACUGGGACUGAGAUACGGCCCAGACUCCUACGGGAGGCAGCAGUGGGGAAUAUUGCACAAUGGGCGCAAGCCUGAUGCAGCGACGCCGCGUGGGGGAUGACGGCCUUCGGGUUGUAAACCUCUUUCAGUACCGACGAAGCGCAAGUGACGGUAGGUACAGAAGAAGCACCGGCCAACUACGUG